CAGGACCGUCUUCUGCUUCACUGUACGUACUGCAGGACAGUCUUCUGCUUCACGGUAGGUACUGCAGGACCGUCUUCUGCUUCACGGUAGGUACUGCAGGACCGUCUUCUGCUUCACGGUACGUACUGCAGGACCGUCUUCUGCUUCACGGUAGGUACUGCAGGACAGUCUUCUGCUUCACGGUAGGUACUGCAGGACCGUCUUCUGCUUCACGGUACGUACUGCAGGACCGUCUUCUGCUUCACGGUAGGUACUGCAGGACAGUCUUCUGCUUCACGGUAGGUACUGCAGGACAGUCUUCUGCUUCACGGUACGUACUGCAGGACCGUCUUCUGCUUCACGGUACGUACUGCAGGACCGUCUUCUGCUUCACGGUACGUACUGCAGGACCGUCUUCUGCUUCACGGUAGGUACUGCAGGACUGUCUUCUGCUUCACGGUAGGUACUGCAGGACCGUCUUCUGCUUCACGGUACGUACUGCAGGACCGUCUUCUGCUUCACGGUAGGUACUGCAGGACUGUCUUCUGCUUCACGGUAGGUACUGCAGGACCGUCUUCUGCUUCACGGUACGUACUGCAGGACCGUCUUCUGCUUCACGGUACGUACUGCAGGACUGUCUUCUGCUUCACGGUAUGUAGUGCAGGACUGUCUUCUUGGGGAGAGACUAACAUGAUGCUUAAGUAGUCUGAAGUGUUACAUUUCUAACUCAAAACAGCAGUACAGAAUUUCUUCAACAUCUUUGUUUUCGUUAUUAAAAUAAAAACACUCUUUCAAAAUGUUGAUGUUUAUUUAGUUAUGAAUCCAUAAUGAAUUACUAUUGGAAUAAAUAUCAGUGAAUUACAGAAAUAUUGGAACAAAGUAGUCUAAUGAAGGUAAAACAAAUAGUUGCUUACUGUAAAAUACUCUUUUAAACACACAUGGUCACGUUGUACAGCGUCAUUAUGGCUAUUAGCAGGGCUAUAUAUUGGCCUUUAUGGGCGACGCACAAUUGGCCCAGAGCUUCUCUCACUCUAAAAACAGAAAUGCAUGUUUUGGCCUUCAUUCAGAUUUCAAUCGCUCUUUCGUUUUUUUUUUUUUUUAAACAAAAUAACCACCAUAAUAUCGUUAUAUAUUAUCAAGUUGGCUGCCACCGGGAAACCCAUGAGGAGGCUUAUGGUUUUAAUUUAGAAUCCUUAAAUCCUCUAUAUGUAAUUGUUGGCGAAGUGUCAUAUUUUUCGAUGUAGUGUAGGCCUAUCGUAGGUGACAUGAGUCUCACUCAUGUUGAGUAAUGUGCUAUUAAAAGUGGUGUAGGUGUUAUUUAUUUAAAGAGCAUAUUGAAGUUCGAAGCAAUAGAAUUUGAAGCAAAAGCCUACAACUUUUAGCAUCAUUUUGCGCUGCUCUGAGACAAGAAUGGGGACUGGUCUUGAUAAAUCAAUUAGACUUUUAUUUUCACCUAAUCUCUGUUUGGGUAUUGGUUAGACCAGAAUCAAAAAAAUAAGUUGCAGAAAUGUUAUGCUCUUAAUGUAAUCUUAUUCAACUAGGCAAGUCAGUUCAGAACAAAUUCUUAUUUACAAGGACGGUCUACUCUGUCCUACCCAUCCGGGUAUUGAAUCCCGGUCUCCCGCAUGCCCUGCACGCACAAGGGGAUUCUUUAGCUAAAUAGCCCAGUACGGUACUGCCGACCGUCAGGUUGUACAGCGCCAUAUUUUCCGUUCUAUCCUAACGGAAACCCAGAGGUUUUUUUAUGGAAUAGAAAUACGAUAAUAUUAAUCAAAUGAAUUAUGCAAGUACCAAUCAAAAGUUGACACACCUAUUCAUUCCAGGAUCUUUCUUUAUUUUUACUAUUUCCUACAUUGCAGAAUAAUAGUGAAGACAUCACAACUAUGAAAUAACACAUAUGGAAUCAAUCACAAAUUCUUAUUGACGAGGACCACCUACUCCGUCCUCCCCGUCGGUGAAUUGAAACCCCGGUCUCCCCCGUUCCCGCAUUUUCUAGUACAGCCAUUAUUGAAGGUACUCGAGGUCAAGGAGAAAGUCUGGAGAUGGCCUGCUCUCUCUUAUGUAAGGAAUUAGGCACUUUCCCAUGUUUACUACAGUAUGUAUUGUAGGCUACGUUUACUUGCCAGACUGCACAGUAGCCUAAUAAACAAAUGCUAGCCCUAACACUUUGUAGUUAGUCUAGCAGCCAGCUAUCUAAACUUAUAGUAAUCAAGGUCUACCGACCGGGGGCCCUCAUUGAUCAUCAGAUAUAUUAAAAACUGCAAAAAAAUUUGUCUCCACCCUACGGCAAAAUGUGUAGAAUUGCAAGAAAUUAGCUGUAAAAUUGCACAUUUUUCUCUCCGUCAAUGGCAAAAUGAGUAGAAUUGCCCCAACAAAAUGUUGGUUCGGGCCCCUAAAAGGCUAGGGUUGUCUCUGACCGCAUGUGGGAGGUAUGGGAUGUAGGUGCAGACCUGUGAGCUACUUCAUAAGUUUGCAUUCUUUUAACGCAAUAGACCUUCAGAAUGGUGAGUGAAAAAUGCUGAGGGCAAAUGGAGAGUAACUGACAAAAUAAAGGAAACACUUGAGUAAAUGAGGGAUACAAAGUAUAUUGAAAGCGGACGCUUCCACACGGGUGCGUUUCCGACUGAAAGACACAAUGUUGCAGUUUUAUAGCUAAUUUCCUAUAAUAAAAAUAAAUAAAUAUACAUUGAUGGCUCAUGACGUGUUCACGUACUAUCACG
Molecule: long non-coding RNA, 2699 nt
Organism: Oncorhynchus keta (chum salmon)
Lineage: Eukaryota; Metazoa; Chordata; Actinopteri; Salmoniformes; Salmonidae
Exons: 5
Source: RefSeq, a predicted model, not a curated record